RNAcentral lists this ribosomal RNA (468 nucleotides) under uncultured bacterium. RNAcentral describes it as "partial 16S ribosomal RNA". It matches the Rfam family "Bacterial small subunit ribosomal RNA", at positions 28 to 507 of the family's 1533-position model. The record is from RNAcentral.
GACGAACGCUGGCGGCGUGCUUAACACAUGCAAGUCGAACGAAACGGCCCGGCUUUUGUGGGGUGCUCGAGUGGCGAACGGGGGAGUAACACGUGGGUAAGCUGCCCUUGCCUUUGGGAUAACUUCAUAAAGCUGGAGCUCAUACCAGCUAGGAGCUCUUGCUGCUUGGUGGGGGUUGGUAGGUUUCGGCGGUUGGGGAUGGACUAGCGGCUUAUCAGCUUGUUGGUGGGGUAGUGGCUUACCAUGGCUAUGACGCGUAGCCGGGCUGAGAGGGUGACCGGCCACACUGCGAUUGAGAUGCGACCCAGACUACAACGGGACGCAGCAGUGCAGAAUAGUGCAUAGGGGGCGGAAGCCUGAUGCAGCAACGCCGCGUGCGGGAUGACGUCCUGCCGUUAGUAAUGCAAUGCCGCCUUUCACGAAGCGUGAGUGACGGUAAUGGGUAAAGAAGCACCGGCUAACUACGUG